AACGAACGCUGGCGGCAUGCCUAACACAUGCAAGUCGAACGAGAUCCUUCGGGGUCUAGUGGCGCACGGGUGCGUAACGCGUGGGAAUCUGCCCUUAGGUUCGGAAUAACAGUUAGAAAUGACUGCUAAUACCGGAUGAUGACGUUAAGUCCAAAGAUUUAUCGCCUGAGGAUGAGCCCGCGUAGGAUUAGCUAGUUGGUGUGGUAAAGGCGCACCAAGGCGACGAUCCUUAGCUGGUCUGAGAGGAUGAUCAGCCACACUGGGACUGAGACACGGCCCAGACUCCUACGGGAGGCAGCAGUGGGGAAUAUUGGACAAUGGGCGCAAGCCUGAUCCAGCAAUGCCGCGUGAGUGAUGAAGGCCUUAGGGUUGUAAAGCUCCUUUACCCGAGAUGAUAAUGACAGUAUCGGGAGAAUAAGCCCCGGCUAACUCCGUG
This 436-nucleotide ribosomal RNA is filed under the name uncultured bacterium. RNAcentral's name for it is "partial 16S ribosomal RNA". It matches the Rfam family "Bacterial small subunit ribosomal RNA", at positions 29 to 507 of the family's 1533-position model. The record is from RNAcentral.